UACGUAGGGACCAAGCGUUGUUCGGAUUUACUGGGCGUAAAGGGCGCGUAGGCGGCGUGGUAAGUCACUUGUGAAAUCUCUGAGCUUAACUCAGAACGGCCAAGUGAUACUGCUGUGCUAGAGUGCAGAAGGGGCAAUCGGAAUUCUUGGUGUAGCGGUGAAAUGCGUAGAUAUCAAGAGGAACACCUGAGGUGAAGACGGGUUGCUGGGCUGACACUGACGCUGAUGCGCGAAAGCCAGGGGAGCAAACGGG
This 253-nucleotide ribosomal RNA is filed under the name uncultured bacterium. RNAcentral describes it as "partial 16S ribosomal RNA". It matches the Rfam family "Bacterial small subunit ribosomal RNA", at positions 524 to 776 of the family's 1533-position model. The record is from RNAcentral.